AUGGCCUCCUCAAGCUCCGAUGUCGCCGCGCCUGCCCUCAUUCCCAUAGCCGACCGACUCCAUCGCUCCAACUUCCUAGUAUGGCGCGCGCAAGCCAUGGCAGCCAUCCGUGGGGCGCAGCUCGUCUCCUACCUCGAUCCAGAUCGGGAGCAGCCAGAUUUCAUCUUCAACUCCAUCUCAGCUCCUGUCAUGGUUCAGGUCGCACACUAUGACGCGGAGGCUGAAGCAUGGGCCACCAUCAGGGAGAUCUUCAUCUCCCAAACUCAGGCGCACGUCGUCAACACCAGGAUCGCCUUCUCCACCACCAAGAAGGGCAACUCGACGAUGUCCGAGUACAUCGGGCGCAUGAAGGCGCUCGGUGAUGAGAUGGCAUCGGUGGGCAAGCCGCUCACCGACGACGACAUGGUGUCCUACAUCCUGGCGGGACUCGACUACGACUACGUGUCCUUCGUCUCCACGAUCUGCGCUCGCACUCAGCAAAUCAAGGUGAGCGAGCUUUACUCGCAGCUGAUCAGCUUUGAAAGCAGGCUGGCCAUGUUUGAAGGCGGAGGGCAGUCCUCCCACUCCUCUGCCAACACCGUCUCUCGUGGCGGACGUGGUGGAUCCAACCGCGGUGGUGACCGCGGUGGCAACGAUGGCCGCAAUGGAGGCGGCCGUGGCAAUGGAGGAGGCCGCAACGAUCUGUCUGAGGUCUUCUGCCAAAUCUGCACCAAGCCAAAUCACACGGCCAUGGAGUGCUAUCAUCGUGUUGAUGUCUCGUUCAACAAGGAGAAAACUGCAGUAGCCGUCAACACCAACUCCUCCUACGGGAUCAACGACUCAGAUAAGAUGUUCUGCCGAGCAGACACCGCCGUGGUCUGUCAAUCCUCGCCCGCAAAACAUACCGCUUCGAUGCCUCCCUGUGACCAGAUAAAAAACAAAGGCGAAGUGCGUAAUCCUCGCUCAGAUCCAGGCCCCUGCGUGUGGUUCCUCCCGCACCCGGGCGAGGUGGCUGUCGUGGAGCGCCGGGUGGCGGGCGGAGAUGCUCCUCACGGGCUGGCGCCUGGAUCCGCGCCAUCGAGCUGUGCCGGAGCUUCUCCGACGAUCUUUGGCAGCGACCAUGGCGGGCGUAGCAGAGCGAAGGGUGCCGGCAGCCCGGUGUCAGUGCGCAGGGGAAGAUUCACUUCACAGCCGGCGUCCGGAUCCGCGCCAUCGAGCUGUGCUGGAGGUUCUCAGGGUGGUGGCGCGCUGCCCAGGGAGCACGACCAUGGGCGAAUCCAAGGGAGCACGAGAUAA
Molecule: ribosomal RNA, 1275 nt
Filed under: Triticum aestivum (bread wheat)
Lineage: Eukaryota; Viridiplantae; Streptophyta; Magnoliopsida; Poales; Poaceae
Description: partial small subunit ribosomal RNA
Rfam family: Small nucleolar RNA Z247 (bases 385-523)
Source: RNAcentral